GGCUUUGGGGCCGAGCACUGGUAUCUGCGUGUGCUCUCCUGAGGUUAGCGGCAGGAGCCCGGGGCUGAGGACACCGGCCUACAGGCCAUGGCCUCCGCCGGGCUGCCCCAGGCCCCCGCCGAGGACUCCCCCUGGCCUCUGCGCCUCCUGCACGCCCCCCCAGGGCUGCUGCGGCUGGACCCUACGGGCGGCGCGCUGCUGCUUCUAGUUCUCGCCGCGCUGCUGGGCUGGAGCUGGCUGUGGCGGCGCCCGAAGCGGGGCAUUCCCCCCGGGCCCACGCCCUGGCCCGUGGUGGGCAACUUCGGCUUCGUGCUGCUGCCUCCUUUUCUCCGACGGAAGAGCUGGCCGUACCGGCGGGCAAGGACCGGAGAAUUGAAUACCUCGGGCCUGGGCGUGCAGUUGCUCCUGGCAGACCUGGCCCGUGUGUACGGUAAUAUCUACAGCUUCUUCAUCGGCCACUACCUGGUGGUGGUCCUCAACGACUUCCAGAGCGUGCGCGAGGCGCUGGUGCAGCAGGCCGAGGUCUUCAGCGACCGCCCGCGGAUGCCGCUCAACUACAUUCUGACCAAGGGGAAGGGGAUUGUAUUCGCGCAUUAUGGUCCAGUCUGGAGACAACAGAGGAAGUUCUCUCAUUCAACUCUUCGUCAUUUUGGCUUGGGAAAGCUUAGCUUGGAGCCCAAGAUUAUUGAGGAGUUCAAAUAUGUGAAAGAGGAAAUGCAAAAGAAUCGAGAAGUCCUCUUCAAUCCUUUCCCCAUUGUCAACAACGCUGUCUCUAACAUAAUUUGCUCUUUGUGCUUUGGCCAGCGCUUUGAUUACACCAAUAGUGAGUUUAAGAAAAUGCUUAAUUUUAUGUCACGGGCGUUAGAAAUCUGUCUGAACACCCAGCUCCUCUUGGUCAACAUAUGCUCCUGGCUUUAUUACCUUCCCUUUGGACCAUUUAAGGAAUUAAGACAGAUUGAAAAGGAUUUAACUAUUUUCCUUAAAAAAAUCAUCGAAGACCAUCGAGAGUCUCUGGAUAUAGAGAACCCUCAGGACUUCAUAGACAUGUAUCUUCUCCAUGUGGAGGAGGAGAGGAAAAAUAAUAGCAAUAGUAGUUUUGAUGAAGAUUACUUAUUUUAUAUCAUUGGCGAUCUCUUCAUUGCUGGCACUGAUACCACAACUAACUCUUUGCUUUGGUGCCUCCUGUAUAUGUCACUGAACCCCGACAUACAAGAAAAGGUUCAUGAAGAAAUUGAAAGGGUCAUUGGUGGUGACCGUGCCCCUUCCCUCACUGACAAGGCCCGGAUGCCCUACACAGAAGCCACCAUCAUGGAGGUGCAGAGGCUGAGCGUGGUGGUGCCACUCUCCAUCCCUCACAUGACCUCAGAGAAAACAGUGCUCCAAGGGUAUACCAUUCCUAAAGGCACGAUAAUAUUACCCAACUUGUGGUCAAUACACAGAGACCCAGCCAUUUGGGAGAAACCAAAUGAUUUCUACCCUAAUCGAUUUCUGGAUGAUCAAGGACAGCUUAUUAAAAAGGAAACAUUUAUUCCUUUUGGGAUAGGGAAGCGGGUAUGUAUGGGAGAGCAGCUGGCAAAGAUGGAAUUAUUCCUGAUGUUCGUGAGCCUAAUGCAGAGUUUCACAUUUGCUUUGCCUAAGGACUCGAAGCCGAUCCUGACUGGGAAAUAUGGUCUAACUUUAGCCCCGCAUCCGUUUAAUAUAAUCAUUUCAAAGAGAUAAAGAACAUCUCCAUGAAGAGAUGGUGCAGAGAAUGUAAAUACAUGUCCUUCUAAACAGAUUCUUCCUUCUGUAAUUGACAGCGGAUCCAGCAACUCUGCAGGUCUAGGUUAGGCGUGGAUUAGAGAGAGAUUGGAAAGAGGGUAGAGCACGUGGGACCUUUCGUCUUGGAGGGUUCCUCAGAAGGAAACUUCAGCCAUUUUAGUAAUGCAUGUGACUUGGGGGAUGGCGACGAAAGUACUGAAUUCGGAAGCAGGGGAUCCAGAUUUUAUUCCCAGCAGCCUCCACCAAUGAGCAUUUCUUCUCAUCCCUCAGUGCCUCAGUCAUUCCACGUGGAAAAUGACGGUAACAAAAUUUGACUUCUCUCUCUGUCUUGGCAUGAAUGAUGGUCAAAUGCUCCAUCUUUUCUGACAUCACCAAAGCACUGUUAAGCUCUGGAGAACAAAUUCAGGAGGAGAAGGAAGACCUACCUGUUUAAGACCCAGGACAACAUGAAAGUGGUGCUCAGACUUGAAUACUUCAUCAGAGAAGGACGUGGGUUUAGGGGACAAUGAAUUAGAGCUUUUCUUUUUGUUUUCUUGUGUUUUUUUUACUUAAUUUCUUUUUGGCUGCGUUGGAUCGUUGUCGCUGCAUCGGCUUCCUCUAGUUGCGGUGAGCAGGGGCUACUGUUCAUUGCCGUGCGUGUGCUCUCAUUGCGGUGACUUCUCUUGUUGUGGGGCACAGGCUCUAGGGCACACGCGGGCUCAGUAGUUGUGGCGCACGGGCUUAGUUGCUCCGCGACAUGUGGGAUCUUCCUGGACCAGGGCUCGAAUCCGUGUCCCCUGCAUUGGCAGGCAGAUUCUUUUUUUUAAAAUUUAAUUUUAUUUAUUUUAUUUAUUUUAUUUUAUUUUAUUUUUAUUAUUAUUAUUUUUCGGUACGCGGGCCUCUGACUGUUGUGGCCUCUCCCGUUGCGGAGCACAGGCUCCAGACGCGCAGGCUCAGCGGCCAUUGCUCACGGGCCUAGCCGCUCCGCGGUAUGUGGGAUCUUCCCGGACCGGGGCACGAACCCGUGUCCACUGCAUCGGCAGGCGGAUUCAAUCACUGCGCCACCAGGGAAGCCCUAAAAUUUUUUUAAUUUAUUCAUUUAUUUUUGGCUGCGUUGGGUACUCGUUGCCGCACGCGGGCUUUCUCUAGUUGCGGCGACCGGGGGCUACUCUUUGUUGCGGUGCACAGCCUUCUCGCUGCGGUGGCUUGUCUUGUUGCAGAGCAUGGGCUUUAGGUGCGCAGGCUUCAGUAGUUGUGGCACGUGGACUCAGUAGUUGUGGCUCACGGGCUCUAGAGUUCAGGCUCAGUAGUUGUGGCGAACGGGCUUAGUUGCUCCGCGGCAUGUGGGAUCUUCCCCGACCAGGGCUCGAACUCGUGUUCCCUGCAUUGGCAGGCGGAUUCUUAACCACCGCGCCGCCACCAGGGAAGACCUAGAGCUUUUCUUGACACAGAUCUUAUGUCGGUUUUAGAGGACUUGUUUUGUUAUUGUCUUUUUAUGAUUUUAAUUUUUACUUUUUGUAGACAUGGGAUGAAGUGGACCCUUGUUUAGUACAUUGAGGAAAGGUUAUUAUCUGAAUGUGUACGUCUGCCUUCUAUUUCAACUACGUGAACAGUGAACCUAGCUGAAGAAGCGGCUUCAUGGCAGAAUUCCUUUCUGCUGUGUUUACUCACAAGGAUGUAGCUCUAGCUUUUGACUUGAGCCCUGAAUAGUGAGCUCUGGAAUUUUAAUACUGGGAUUUAUGAGAAAAGGAUUCAAACCGUACUGAACAUUCCUUAACUGUUCUUCCUGCCACCAGGCCUAAUGUAUCUCAUCCUUGAAGACUUGCAAAGACAGGAAGGCAUUCUUAUUCUUUUUAAGAUAACUAAAUUGUUUCUUAAUAAAUAAACUCCCUCUAAAAGAACAGUUCUCAAAAAAGGUAAUGACUUCUUUCAGGGGAUAUUUGGAAAUAUGUGGGUGUGUUUUCAGUUAUCACAGUGAUGGAGGUGCUAAUGGCUUUUUUGUUGCCAUGAGGACAGGAUGCUAAAUGUCUGAGCAGUCCUAGACAAUGAAGAACUGACCUGCCCAAAGAGAACAUGCUCCAAAAGUGGCUAGCCCUUUCCUUUAUUCUCCCAUUAUACUCCUUAUAUAGAAAGAAUCGUGAUAAUAGUAUAAGCAACUGUACUUUUGAGCCUUUCCUCAUGCUGGCACCAUACUUUAUGCUUUACUUGUAUGCUUACAUAAUUCUUAAAGAAUGUUUAGUAAGAGGAUGCCGUUCUGUAGCUGAUGAAGCUCAGGCUUAGAGAAGUUACGGCCUACAUGCAGUUUAAAAGUACCACUGUGCAUUUCAAACCUACCAGUCUUUGUAACUGGAGAGUUCUUCCUGUACCACUUCUUUAUACUGCCCCUCUGCAUUGAUCUCAUACCAGUCUGCCUCUCUGCAUUUUCAAUAUGGAUAAAUGAAAUACAGGCCAAUCUUUAGGUGCCUUGAGGAUUUUUGUUAAUUAAAAAAGAAAAACUAAGAAACGAAAUGCAUAGGCACUGAGUGAAUGGAGAGGUUGUUAUAGAGACUUUAAUUUAUUAAUUAAUUAAAAAAUAAAUAAUUUUUUUUUUUUGGCUGCGUUGGGUCUUCGUUGCUGCGCGCAGGCUUACUCUAGUUGCUGCGAGCGGGGGCUACUCCUCAUUGCAGUGCGUGGGCUUCUCAUUGCGGUGGCUUCUCUUGUUGCGGAGCAUGGGCUUCAGUAGUUGUGGCACGUGGGCUCAGUAGUUGUGGCUCACGGGCUCUAGAGCGCAGGCUCAGUAGUGGUGCACAGGCUUAGCUGCUCCGUGGCAUGUGGGAUCUUCCUGGACCAGGGCUUGAACCCGUGUCCCCUGCAUUGGCAGGCAGAUUCUUAACCACUGUGCCACGAGGGAAGCCUCUAGAGACUUUAGAUGGAUGAUGCCUGUGUGGAUUACCCUGUACCAUGAGCAGGGCAGUUUGUUCUGACCUGGAGUUUCAUAUGCUGUGGAAUUGCACUAAUAACUUUGCAUUAGCAAGUUUCUUACUCUUCGAUUUAUACAUGCAUUUUCAGUACCCCCUAACCAAACAGUUUGUAGCUAACUUGAGAAAAAAAACUCUUCUGUGAGAUUAUGUUGAAAUCAGAUGUUUAUGAAACCUUAAUAUAAUAUAAUGCCUUGAACUGUAGCACUUUUAAAACAUCUGUUUAUGGCAAAUCACUGAAAGGACUGUUAAUGCUUCCCUUGCACAUGUUGAUAUUUUACGAUUUUUUACUUUAUGAUUUUUUUGAAGUGUAAAAAUAAUAGUACUUUGUUUUAUAAGUUUGCCUAAUACCUACUUUUUAGUCCUCAUCAUUAGCAUGAUUUUUGAUGCUUAUAUUAAACUUUUAAUUUUAACUGAGAUAGUGUCAUGUCUGGUUUGGGGGGUUUUGUUUUCUUUAAAUUGCUAAACAAAAUUCUCUUUUACCAGAUGUCAAGUUAAGAAAAGGAAGAGGGAAUAGACUUCCAAAAAGAGGGAGAUGGCCACAUGGAAUGUCACAGUGCAGAGGUCACCUCCUGAGGGACGGCUUCCGCUAAAGCCCUAUCUAAAGUGGCCUUUCCUGAGAACACCCUGCUAUAGACUGAAAGUUUGUGUGCCCCAAGAAUUCAUUAAUUGAAACCUGAUCCCAGUGUGAUUGUAUUUGGAGGUGGGACCUUUGGGACGUGAUUGUGUCACGUGAGUGGAGGCCUCUUGCAUGGGAUUAGGAUCCUUACAAGAGCCCAGAGAGCUCCCUGUCCCCCUCUGCCAUAUGAGACUGCAGUGCAAAGACAGCCGUCCAUGAACCAGGAAGCAGGCUCUCACCAGACACUGAAUCUGCGGAUGCCUUGAUUUUGGACUUCUAGUCUCCAGACCUGUGAGAAGUAAACUUCUGUUAUUUGUAAGAUACUCAGUCUAUGGUAUUUUUGUUAUAACAGUCUAAAUGGACUAAAAUAUUCCCUGAUUCAUCACCCAGCUUAUUUCCUUCAGAGCCCUCCUCACUAUCUACAGUUACCCUGUUUAUUUAAAUCCUCAGUUUCCACCAUUUCUUCCACCUCUGGCCAGAGGUGCCCUUUGUUGCACAAGUUUUCAAUUUUGAUGAAGUCCAAUUUGUUUAUUUUUUCUUUUGUUGCCUGUGUCUUUGGUGUCAUAUCCAAGAAAUCAUUGCCAAAUCCAAUGUCAUGAAGGUUUUUGCCUGUUUUCUUCUAAGAGUUUUGUAGUCUUAGCUUUUAAGUGUAGGUCUCUGAUCCAUUUGGAAUUAAUUUUUGUCUAUGGUGUAAGGUAAGGGUCUAACUUUAUUCUGUGCAUAUGGAUAACAAUUUUUCCAACACUAUUUGUUGAAAAGACUGUCUUUUUCCCAUUGAAUGGUCUUGGUACUCUUGUCAAAAAUUGAUUGACCAUAUAUAUGAGGAUUUAUUUCUGGGUGGAUACUAUCUUUUAAAGUAAUGUAUCACUAAACAGUUUUGUAGUAACACUGGGAUAUUCAGACGAAUCAACGAAACAAAAUAGAGAGCAUAUCCUCUAGUGUAUAAAAGUGGCAUCACAUUAUGAAAGAACAGGAAUAAUGUAUUUCAAAAAGUGCUAGGACAGUUGGUUAAUCACUUAGAAAACUAAAGUAACAUCUUUUCUCCAAUUAACUUCUUUUUCCAAGUUAAUCCCAAAAGGAUGACUUUCCCAAAUUAAUCCAGGUUAAUCCCCAAAGGUCUAAAAAGUAAAAAGAAUACAUCUGUAUGUGUCUCUGAAACAUUUUGAUAUUUUCUAAGCAUAAAACAGUUACGGACAUUUUGAAACAUACAGAAGUUAUGGGCAAAUCUUGUUUCAUCUGCAUUAUCCCACUUGCCUCUAGCUCCAUUCUGCACUGAUUUAUUGUGAAGCAAAUAUUAGACAUAUCACAUGAACAUAUUCAUAACGUAGAAUAUGACUUGCAAGGAUGGCUAAUCUCUAGUCGUAGUUACAUUUCAAAGAACUAUUGACAAGGGGUACAAAUAUAUUGACAAAAUAGCCUAAGAAAAUAUUUCAGAAUGUCAAAUCAAACAGACCAGAAGAACAUGGUUAAGCUAUUUUUCUCAAACAUGUUUACAAUUAAAUUACUAAUGGAACAACUGAUAAGAAUGCUACUAAAUGACCUAUAUCUUAUAGUUCCUUCUUAGUCAGGUUUACAACUCAGAGUUUUCUUUCUUUAGGUUGUGCCUCAUUUAAAAGAAAAUUUUCCACAAGGAAUCUACCAAUUUGGCAUUUCUAAUUCUAAAACAUGACACUAAAGAGGGAAAUUCCACCAGUGAAAACUCUUUUCUCCCAUCAUACUCUGCUCGGCAGCAUUUGUCCUCAUUGUAUUAUUUUUUUUCAAUCUGAGCUUGUUUAGCAACCCUCUUCCCACCUGGUAUGCAAAGGCAUGUAGUGAAUUGUCAGUUAUUGUAGUUUUGAAAGAUAUCUUCCAAGGAUAUUUAAGUCCUUUAUAUGGUUUCCUUGUACACAAACUAAUGUUCAUGAAAAAGCUGGUGCCUAAAGAUAAAAAUUAAAACAAAUUAAAUAAAACCUCAGUAAAGCUAUUAUUUUUAAAAAGGGAGAGAGACAGAGAGAGAUGGCAACUAAAUGCCAUACUUGACUCUAGACUGGAUUUAGUACUAGAAGGAAAAAAAAAACUAUAAAGGACAUUAUUAGGUCAAUUAACUAAAUUGGAAUACAGGAGAUCAGUUGGAUAGAAAUGUAUCAAUGUUAAAUUUACUAAAGUUGAUUACUAUCGUUACGUCAGAGAAUCACCCUAUUCCUAGGAGAUAUGCAUCGAAAUAUUAUAAAGGACCGUGAUGUGUGUAACUUACCUCAGAUGGUUCAGAGAUUAUGCAUAAUGUAUAUAAUAUCUGUCUUAUCUAUUAUAGAUAAAUAGAUCUAGGCAAUUGAUAAGAUGAAGCAAAUGUGAUAAAAUGUUAGCAAUAGGUAAAUAUGGCUAAGAGAUAUAUGGGCUCCUCUGUACUAUUUUUACAGUUUUUCUAUGUGCAAUUCUAAAUAAAUUGAAAAAAUUAAAUAUGAUUGAGAUCAUGAUUCCCAUAAAAAGGUCCACCCUCAUCUGGCCCCUGCCUACCUUUGCAGUCUCAUCUUCAUUCACCCAAAAGUACCCUGUGCUUUUGUUAUCCUAUGUUAAUGUAUUUCCAGACCACUGUCUAAUCUCGGUUCCUUCACAGACUACAUAUACAUUUUUCUCUCUGUCUGGAAUGUCCUCAAGACAUUUUCUCUGCCCGAAAACCUUCUAAUCAUCCUCACUACUCUGCUGUAAUAGAUCCAUCAUGAUGAAGUAGGUUAGGACACGUUAUGAGCAACAACGUUGCACUCAGGUAGACUGGGGCUCAAGACCUGCCUCUAUUCUUCCUGCCUAUCACACCUCAGGCAAGUUAUUUUCCUCUCUAAGCUUCCAGUUUUCCCAUAUGCAAAAAGAGAAUAAAAAUAGUGACAUGAGACUGAUGGGAGUGGAUGAGAAGUUACGUAUCACAUGCUUGGCACAGAGCCUGGCAAAUUAAGCAUUCCUUAAAUGCUAGUCUUCCCCUUGCUUCCCCCACCCCCCUCACUACCCACCUCCCACAGCCCCUUGCAUUCCCUUCUGGAAAGCACAACAUUUUGUCC
Molecule: RNA transcript, 8345 nt
Organism: Physeter macrocephalus (sperm whale)
Lineage: Eukaryota; Metazoa; Chordata; Mammalia; Artiodactyla; Physeteridae
Gene: CYP2U1
Gene name: cytochrome P450 family 2 subfamily U member 1
Exons: 6
Source: RefSeq, a predicted model, not a curated record